GCCGCCUUAGCUCAGUUGGUUAGAGCGCUGGUUUGUGGAACCAGAGGUCCCCCGUUCAAGCCGGGGAGGCGGUA
Octadecabacter antarcticus 307 is the source of this 74-nucleotide non-coding RNA. The record is from Rfam. NCBI's taxonomy places the organism in Bacteria, Pseudomonadati, Pseudomonadota, Alphaproteobacteria, Rhodobacterales, Roseobacteraceae.